Long non-coding RNA from Strongylocentrotus purpuratus (purple sea urchin), 1349 nucleotides. RefSeq lists it as uncharacterized. Lineage: Eukaryota; Metazoa; Echinodermata; Echinoidea; Camarodonta; Strongylocentrotidae. The record is from RefSeq and is a predicted model, not a curated record. The transcript has 5 exons.
CCCGUAUUAUAAAGAUUCAGCGUAAGUUGGAUUCAUCAUUAUAAUCCAGCGUAUCUCACAAUCAACUGUAACUCAAUAGCCGAUUUCCGUAUUAUAAACGCCCUUGGAAAUCAAGCGUGAGUUACAAUGGAUUCGCGGUUAAAAAACUAUAGUUUAUAAUUAAAGAGGCGACUAGCGGCAAGGCUACGACUUGGCUCAUGCGCAGUUGCACUAUUUUGCUUUCAGUGUCGUCUACCAUCGUCAGCGCAACAAUGAACCCCAAUGAACCCAAUUUCUGAGCUUGACAUUGUUUUUCGUAGCAAUUCCGAAAAUGUACAGAGAGACUUGUUGCCAUACCAAAUGCUUGCCUUCUUUGAGAAUGUGCUUGAAACAAAAAAUGUCCUGGAGAGAACAGACCACCAUGCACCAUGAGAGAAGGAAUUGAGAAGGACGGCUUCCUGUCGAGAGAUCAUGGGGUGCCUUGAGGUUCCAGCCUUGAAUGUCUGCCCUUUACCUCAAAACGAUGGCCUCUUGUAGGAGCAAAGCACAAUGGACUGGUGCCUGUACAUGUAAUGCAGAAGCUCAUGAUGAUAUGGUAGACACAACGAGGACCUUGCUGUCUUAAGCUCAGAGGCCAGAUGACAGAGUCUGAAGUACAUCCAGCUUGUCAGAAUUGGUUACAAAGAUGCAAGUGGACUUGUCUUCAGUAGUGGCUAAAGAGGAGCAGUCAGCAGAAGGAGCGUGCAACUCCAAAACAAUGUGGAUACCUCUCUCAAGUUCAUCUGUAAUCAGACACAUGGCUCUUCAGGAAUCAAGAUAAGACAGUGGAGGUAGAGGAGUCUGUGACCCUCCUGACUGUGGACUACUUGCAUUAUACAUGUACUAAAUUAAUGGAUUGAAGCACUACUGCACAAAACUCGACCAGCCAUUUUGAACAAAUCGUAAUAAACACUUGAUGAAGCAUUGAUUUAUGUAACUGGUAUUAGCCUUAAGGUACAGUUAAGGUUCUAAAUUUGAUAAGAAACCUCAAGAACCUCAAGCUGCAACCCCCCUCCCCCUCUGCUCUCCUGUAAACCCUUCGAGCAAGGGAUCAAAUGAAUUAAAAUCCUAACUUAAUUACUAAUGAAUUGAUCUGUUAAUUAUUGUCAUCAUUUCAGGAUAGUUCUUUGUGUGGAGAUCAGUGAAUGGAUAUUUCCAUGUACAAUGCAAGUGAGGUGUCCAUCUUCACUGGACAUGAAGGCUGAUUUUCAAGGAGAGAAGCAAGAUAGAUUGAUGUGAACUUAAUGACAUAGGGAAUGUUUCCCUGUAUUGUCGGAUUGAGGUUUGAAUGGCAUGGAUGUUGAAUAAUGUGAAGUUAGUGAAAAGAAUGG